This 622-nucleotide ribosomal RNA is filed under the name Naganishia liquefaciens. Its description in RNAcentral is "eukaryotic LSU rRNA". The stretch from base 186 to 339 matches the Rfam family "5.8S ribosomal RNA". The record is from RNAcentral. Lineage: Eukaryota; Fungi; Basidiomycota; Tremellomycetes; Filobasidiales; Filobasidiaceae.
UCCGUAGGUGAACCUGCGGAAGGAUCAUUAAUGAUUAACUGUCUGUCGAGCUUGCUCACAGACUUAUCAUAUCCAUAACACCUGUGCACUUGUCGGAUGGCUUAGUGAAGACCGCAAGGUUGGAACUAUCCAUCUACUUUACAUAACAAUUUAGUAACAAAUGUAGUCUUAUUAUAACAUAAUAAAACUUUCAACAACGGAUCUCUUGGCUCUCGCAUCGAUGAAGAACGCAGCGAAAUGCGAUAAGUAAUGUGAAUUGCAGAAUUCAGUGAAUCAUCGAAUCUUUGAACGCACCUUGCGCUCCCUGGUAUUCCGGGGAGCAUGCCUGUUUGAGUGUCAUGAAAACCCUCAACCUUAGAUUGGUUAACACCUUUCUUUGGCUUGGAUUUGGACGUUUGCCGAUGAUAAGUCGGCUCGUCUUAAAAGUAAUAGCUGGAUCUGUCUCGCGACAUGGUUUGACUUGGCGUAAUAAGUAUUUCGCUAAGGACAUCUUCGGAUGGCCGCGUUGCAAGACUAAAGACCGCUUUCUAAUCCAUUGAUCUUCGGAUUAAUAUUCUUGACAUCUGGCCUCAAAUCAGGUAGACUACCCGCUGAACUUAAGCAUAUCAAUAAGCGGAGGAAA